Molecule: ribosomal RNA, 610 nt
Filed under: uncultured marine bacterium
Lineage: Bacteria
Description: bacterial SSU rRNA
Rfam family: Bacterial small subunit ribosomal RNA
Source: RNAcentral
AGAGUUUGAUCCUGGCUCAGGAUGAACGCUGGCGGCGUGCCUAAUACAUGCAAGUCGAGCGAACUGAUUAGAAGCUUGCUUCUAUGACGUUAGCGGCGGACGGGUGAGUAACACGUGGGCAACCUGCCUGUAAGACUGGGAUAACUUCGGGAAACCGAAGCUAAUACCGGAUAGGAUCUUCUCCUUCAUGGGAGAUGAUUGAAAGAUGGUUUCGGCUAUCACUUACAGAUGGGCCCGCGGUGCAUUAGCUAGUUGGUGAGGUAACGGCUCACCAAGGCAACGAUGCAUAGCCGACCUGAGAGGGUGAUCGGCCACACUGGGACUGAGACACGGCCCAGACUCCUACGGGAGGCAGCAGUAGGGAAUCUUCCGCAAUGGACGAAAGUCUGACGGAGCAACGCCGCGUGAGUGAUGAAGGCUUUCGGGUCGUAAAACUCUGUUGUUAGGGAAGAACAAGUACGAGAGUAACUGCUCGUACCUUGACGGUACCUAACCAGAAAGCCACGGCUAACUACGUGCCAGCAGCCGCGGUAAUACGUAGGUGGCAAGCGUUAUCCGGAAUUAUUGGGCGUAAAGCGCGCGCAGGCGGUUUCUUAAGUCUGAUGUGAAA